Molecule: long non-coding RNA, 1137 nt
Organism: Ctenopharyngodon idella (grass carp)
Lineage: Eukaryota; Metazoa; Chordata; Actinopteri; Cypriniformes; Xenocyprididae
Exons: 7
Source: RefSeq, a predicted model, not a curated record
UCCUCCUCUGUGGUUCUUCACUGUCCACACACACGAAGAUAUACCAUAAAAGCGAUCAGACAUCCACAUCGACAACUCAUUUCAGGUGAAAACUUUAAAUGGAAACCAGCAAGGUCAUCUCAACUGACAAAGCUACAGUUGUCAUCCAAGUAAAUCCACAGAUGACACAAGAUGCUGUUACGUGUGAUGAUGGACAGGAGGCCAGAAGAGCAUAUCAUAAUACGACUCUUGCAGAAUUUUUCACAGCACAACCAAAUGCUCUGGGGACUGUGCAAAUAAUGAUUGGAGUGGUGGUUUUCUUAUUUGGCAUCAUACGCAGCAUCAGUAACAUUGACGAUUACCGAGAUAUUUCUGUCAUUAGUGGCAUAACCUACUGGGGAUCCCUUGUUUACAUCACUGCUGGAUCUCUGUCUGUUGCUGCGCAGAAUAAACUUCACCUGUGUGUGGUAAAAGCCUCUCUUGUAAUGAAUGUGUUCAGUGCCAUGACUGCAGCGACCGCCAUUGUUCUGAUGUCCGUAGAGUUAAAACUCAUUUCCAAAGAACAUUGCCCCUCUUACAGUUAUGAUAAUUGUUUCCAUUUUAAGAAUACACAGAAAUAUAGUCUGGGGAUCACUGGAAUAUUGCUGGUGUUCUCCAUCCUUCAAUUAAUCAUCUCCAUCUGUAUCUCAGGAUUUGCCUGCAAAGCCACACGCAACGCCGACGCUACAGUGGUCAAUGUGGCACUAAACCAGGGAUACUGAGUCACAGUAAGAAGAUGCUACCAUCUAAAGGUUGCAGUUUGCAAGGAAUUAAUAUCUCAUAUUAUUGCUUCUGAUUACUCAAGCAUGUUUUUUUUUUUUUUUUUUUUCUUUUCUCUACACUGUAAAAAAAAUAAAGUUAAAAUAAACUUAAAAAAAUAAGGCAACUUAUUGCAUUCAGCUUUUUAAGUUAACUCAACUAAUUUGCCCCAGUUAAAAUCAACUUAAAUACUAUAGCUGGGACAAUACAUUGAAUCUUGAUUUGCGAUACGAAGAAUGUGGAGCUAUUCUGAUAUUUUUCAGUGUAUUGCGAUUCUCUCUCGAAUCGAUUCUGAGCUUAGUUUUUAAACAGCAGAUGGCACUGCUAUACGUGCUUUAGAAACACUCGUACACUGCCUGA